CCUACGGGAGGCAGCAGUGAGGAAUAUUGGUCAAUGGGCGCGAGCCUGAACCAGCCAAGUAGCGUGAAGGAUGACUGCCCUACGGGUUGUAAACUUCUUUUAUAAAGGAAUAAAGUGAGGCACGUGUGCCUUUUUGUAUGUAUUUUAUGAAUAAGGAUCGGCUAACUCCGUGCCAGCAGCCGCGGUAAUACGGGGGAUCCGAGCGUUAUCCGGAUUUCUUGGGUUUAAAGGGAGCGUAGAUGGGUUGGUAAGUCAGUUGUGAAAGUUUGCGGCUCAACCGUAAAAUUGCAGUUGAUACUGGCAGCCUUGAGUACAGUUGAGGUAUGCGGAAUUCGUGGUGUAGCGGUGAAAUGCUUAGAUAUCACGAAGAACUCCGAUUGCGAAGGCGGCCUGCUGGACUGCGACUGACGUUGAGGCUCGAAAGCGUGGGGAGCGAACAGGAUUAGAUACCCUGGUAGUC
RNAcentral lists this ribosomal RNA (460 nucleotides) under uncultured bacterium. Its description in RNAcentral is "partial 16S ribosomal RNA". It matches the Rfam family "Bacterial small subunit ribosomal RNA", at positions 338 to 795 of the family's 1533-position model. The record is from RNAcentral.